GACGAACGCUGGCGGCGUGCCUAAUACAUGCAAGUAGAACGCUGAAGCGAGGAGCUUGCUCUUCUUGGAUGAGUUGCGAACGGGUGAGUAACGCGUAGGUAACCUGCCUUGUAGCGGGGGAUAACUAUUGGAAACGAUAGCUAAUACCGCAUAACAAUGGAUGACCCAUGUCAUUUAUUUGAAAGGGGCAAAUGCUCCACUACAAGAUGGACCUGCGUUGUAUUAGCUAGUAGGUGAGGUAACGGCUCACCUAGGCGACGAUACAUAGCCGACCUGAGAGGGUGAUCGGCCACACUGGGACUGAGACACGGCCCAGACUCCUACGGGAGGCAGCAGUAGGGAAUCUUCGGCAAUGGGGGCAACCCUGACCGAGCAACGCCGCGGGAGUGAAGAAGGGUGUCGGAUCGUAAAGCUCUGUUGUAAGUCAAGAACGAGUGUGAGAGUGGAAAGUUCACACUGUGACGGUAGCUUACCAGAAAGGGACGGCUAACUACGUG
RNAcentral lists this ribosomal RNA (497 nucleotides) under uncultured bacterium. RNAcentral's name for it is "partial 16S ribosomal RNA". It matches the Rfam family "Bacterial small subunit ribosomal RNA", at positions 28 to 507 of the family's 1533-position model. The record is from RNAcentral.